GCCACAUAGCUCAGUCAGUAGAGCACGAGACUUUUAAUCGUGGGGUCGUGGGUUCGAGCCCAAUGUUGGGUG
Molecule: non-coding RNA, 72 nt
Organism: Podarcis lilfordi (Lilford's wall lizard)
Lineage: Eukaryota; Metazoa; Chordata; Lepidosauria; Squamata; Lacertidae
Source: the annotation of a GenBank genome assembly